Molecule: unclassified non-coding RNA, 227 nt
Filed under: air metagenome
Description: partial contains small subunit ribosomal RNA, internal transcribed spacer 1, and 5.8S ribosomal RNA
Rfam family: Eukaryotic small subunit ribosomal RNA (bases 1-46)
Source: RNAcentral
AAGUCGUAACAAGGUCUCCGUAGGUGAACCUGCGGAGGGAUCAUUACCGAGUGAGGGCCUCCGCGCCCAACCUCCCAACCCUUUGUCUAAUGAAUACAUGUUGCCUCGGGGGGCGACCCGGCCUCUGCGCCGCGGGGUCCCCCGGUGGUCCCACUACACUGCAUCUAUGCGUCGAGGAUUGAAAACCAAAUCAAUUAAAACUUUUAACAACGGAUCUCUUGGUUCUG